This 1527-nucleotide long non-coding RNA is filed under the name Neogobius melanostomus (round goby). Its description in RNAcentral is "lncRNA (ENSNMLG00000026687.1)". The record is from RNAcentral. Lineage: Eukaryota; Metazoa; Chordata; Actinopteri; Gobiiformes; Gobiidae.
CUCACCUCUCAUAACAGGAGCAGGUCCGAGCAGCAGGAGCAGGUCUGAGCAGCAGAAGAAGCCCACUUCCCGUCGCUGUCCCCUGCCCCCCGCGUCCAGAAGGAACACAUCUGGGACUGUGUGUGGGGAGGGGGAGCGCGUCGUGUGUUUGCACCGAGCUUUUCGAAGGUCAGGGAUCCCGGUCAACUCAGAUGGGCUCAGGAGUCGUCAUCCACUGUCUCCCGUCUGUCUGCAUGUGUGGAAUGUUGGCUCUGAUGACUUCAACCUAAAGUUACAGCUGUGUCAUUGAGCAUCACUUGUCUCUUAAGAGAACCCAUACAGAAGGCUCAGGGAUUCCAGACCCCAGUUUGAGAAUGUGGAUGCGGUUCUACCUUCCGGCGGGAGCGGAGCUUCGGGCUGGAUGCAGACGGAAAUUAAAAUGAAGAAGGAGAAGAUGAUGAAGGCGAUGGCUAUGAAGUCUUACCCAUGUUCCGCUCCUCCCGAGCAUCCCGGUGAACGCAACGAGGCCGAACACCAGCAGCGAGAAGAGGACGACGCACACCUCCAGCUCGGUGAAUGGGGAGGCCAUGAGCCGCUCCGCACGGUCAGCUGACACUAGGCUCCCAUACAAACUCGGGACAGUCUUUUCAAGCAAAAACAAGCGUGUGCUGUAGUGUGACCCGAGGCUUUGUGAACCAUUGUGACACCUCCCCUCUCCUAUUCUCGGUCACACAUUUGAACAUUUUGCAAAGGCGUAUCGGUGGAAGCUGUGAACAGCGGACUCCCCUCUCAAGUUCAACCAAGAUCAUAUUAACCCUAAUUAUUAAUGGGUGGCCUGCUUGCGCGUUUAACUGCAGAGGUUCAGUAGCACUGGACUCUCUUCACUAUACAAUGGUGGUCAUGUGAGUUAAAGAGAGCGCGGAAAACUCAUACGUAGCCAUUCGUUGUUCAUUUGCUACUUUUUGUUGAGCUUUGAAUGAUGUUAUAACCUGGAGUAGUAUUUUAUGCUGUUCUUCACCUUUGUAGUCUCUCCUUCUUCUGCUGAAGCGCUCCGAUCUUUAUUUCUCAAAGUCUGUCACGUCGUAGAUGUACAACAAAAGUGUCCAACACAUUUUUAAAGCCCACAAUCCAUCACCAAACCCGCUCUCAGCAAUUCUGUGCUCAAGGUGUGUUUCGUCAAGGCGCCAUAGAUGCACUAGUAUGCUGCUUGGAUUCACUGCUUUGUCACGUGUCAUUCCCCCUUUAUGCCUAUAGAGGCUGCUCCAGGCCAAUUCGACAUCCUGACCAGCCUUUCUCACACUCCUUACUGUCUUUUCCUGACAUAGACGUUAUUUUAAGGCGGAAUAUAUCAAAGCUGAGGCACCGAAAGGAAUGUUUUUAAGCCUAAAUUGUGCACAAAAUGUCCACAAAGUCAGCAAGGGACAAGGAUCGAACGGAAUAAAACCAACCAAGUCUACAAUGCCUUCACUGGAAUUGACUGGAAUUUUUACUUCAAAAUCUCUACUUUGCUAUUAUUUUUCAAUUUUCCAUUCUAUGGCAGAAUGAUCC